Molecule: long non-coding RNA, 719 nt
Organism: Trachemys scripta elegans
Lineage: Eukaryota; Metazoa; Chordata; Testudines; Emydidae
Exons: 3
Source: RefSeq, a predicted model, not a curated record
UUGGUCUGAAUUAUCCAUGACAUCCAUACUUCAUCACAUCAAGUCCAAAUCAUUAAAGGAAUGCCUGUGCUUGCUCUGGCCAGAGGAUGUUUGGAUUCUGAUGUCAGCCCAGUUCUGCAGCCUGAUGGGAAUCCGGUAUUGUCUCCAGUGUACAUAGAAUUCUACUUUGCAGCCAAACCAGUCUAACAUGCUUUUUGUUAACUGAAACUGGAGCAGCAAAACAAAGAAAACAAGUGCCUCAUUUUCCAGCUUUGAGGGUGAGAGAACUAUAAGUGAAGAUUAUAAUGCCAGACACUGACAGCCUUAAACCAGCUGCCUCAGGGAUCUGCCACGAACUUUGCUGAAAAUAUGUUCCUCAUCUUAGCAGCGGAGCUAAGACUUAUCACACAUCUACCCACCUUUAUUCGAAUGAAAGUUCCGUCUGAUCUGACAGCUCAGGCAUUGUCAGUUUCAUCCACAACAAUUUACAAACUUGGAAACUAAUCCUGUAAACCCUUAAUCAUUUGAUCAAUCCCAUUGAAGACCAUGGGACUAUCUGCAUGACUAUGGACCACUUUUGUGGACUGCUCUUCUUCCCUGCGUCAUCAUGAGUGGAUGUGUGAGAUGGAUCGGAGCUCUUGCGUGCAGGAGUGUACCCUCCCGACAACCCUUAGUGUGGUCCUAGGCCUACCCUACAAGGUGCAAAUGUUUCUAUGCUCCCCCUAUCAUCUCCGUCCCAG